UGAACGCUGGCGGCGUGCCUCAUACAUGCAAGUCGAGCGAACAGACGAGGAGCUUGCUCCUCUGACGUUAGCGGCGGACGGGUGAGUAACACGUGGAUAACCUACCUAUAAGACUGGGAUAACUUCGGGAAACCGGAGCUAAUACCGGAUAACAUGUUGAACCGCAUGGUUCAACAGUGAAAGACGGUCUUGCUGUCACUUAUAGAUGGAUCCGCGCCGCAUUAGCUAGUUGGUAAGGUAACGGCUUACCAAGGCAACGAUGCGUAGCCGACCUGAGAGGGUGAUCGGCCACACUGGAACUGAGACACGGUCCAGACUCCUACGGGAGGCAGCAGUAGGAAAUCUUCCGCAAUGGGCGAAAGCCUGACGGAGCAACGCCGCGUGAGUGAAGAAGGUCUUCGGAUCGUAAAACUCUGUUAUUAGGGAAGAACAAAUGUGUAAGUAACUAUGCACGUCUUGACGGUACCUAAUCAGAAAGCCACGGCUAACUACGUG
This 495-nucleotide ribosomal RNA is filed under the name uncultured bacterium. RNAcentral's name for it is "partial 16S ribosomal RNA". It matches the Rfam family "Bacterial small subunit ribosomal RNA", at positions 30 to 507 of the family's 1533-position model. The record is from RNAcentral.